GGACGAACGCUGGCGGCGUGCCUAAUACAUGCAAGUAGAACGCUGAAGAGAGGAGCUUGCUCUUCUUGGAUGAGUUGCGAACGGGUGAGUAACGCGUAGGUAACCUGCCUGGUAGCGGGGGAUAACUAUUGGAAACGAUAGCUAAUACCGCAUAAAAUGGAUUAUCGCAUGAUAAUCCAUUGAAAGGUGCAAAUGCAUCACUACCAGAUGGACCUGCGUUGUAUUAGCUAGUUGGUGGGGUAACGGCUCACCAAGGCGACGAUACAUAGCCGACCUGAGAGGGUGAUCGGCCACACUGGGACUGAGACACGGCCCAGACUCCUACGGGAGGCAGCAGUAGGGAAUCUUCGGCAAUGGACGGAAGUCUGACCGAGCAACGCCGCGUGAGUGAAGAAGGUUUUCGGAUCGUAAAGCUCUGUUGUAAGAGAAGAACGAGUGUGAGAGUGGAAAGUUCACACUGUGACGGUAUCUUACCAGAAAGGGACGGCUAACUAC
This 495-nucleotide ribosomal RNA is filed under the name Streptococcus oralis subsp. tigurinus. RNAcentral's name for it is "bacterial SSU rRNA". It matches the Rfam family "Bacterial small subunit ribosomal RNA", at positions 27 to 504 of the family's 1533-position model. The record is from RNAcentral. Lineage: Bacteria; Bacillati; Bacillota; Bacilli; Lactobacillales; Streptococcaceae.